AUGGAGUGUCGGUUCGGGGAGGCAGACCGGGACAAACCCAAGGUCUGGUGCAAGCAGAACACCACGCAGUGCUGCUCGGGCUUCGCGGUGUCCAGCGCGGAGGAGAGCCUGUACGGCGGGCAGGUGACCAUCCGCGUGCUGCGGGACCAGAACAAGUUCACCGUGUCCAUCGCGCAGCUGCCCGAGGGCGAGGGGCGCUACUGGUGCGGCGUGCUGAACCCCGACAACACCAUGGUCAAGCUGGGCGAGGCGGACUUCUCCGACGGUGAGGUGCCGGUGUGGGACAUCCUGCGCUGGGCGCUGCUGGCCGCCCUGCUGCUCAGCUCUCUGUCCAGCAGCCUGUACGCUAAACGUGAGUCCCGCUCGCCUCUCCGAGCACCGGCUGCACAGAUACUGACAGUGUCCGUGUCCGGCGCUCUCUAACCCAGCACGGCUUCUUGUCUCUUUCUGUUACAGGGAGAACCGGGAAAGAAAAGAGGGACGAAGCCCCCUACGAGGACGUACAGAUGAUCAAUCUCAGCGCCAAACACGACUAGGGACCCCGUGACGUCACCCCGCGGCCCGCGGUGAUGCCGGCGGAAUGAAGGGCGAGCUGGGAAAUGGGAGAGGGGUGGGGAGGGGAGCAGGCUACCCUGGUAACGUUCAUCACUGGACAGAUUUGGGGUGGUAGUGUAAAACAAGGACUCUGUCGGUCCGCCUCUAGUUGUAUAUAUGUAAAUAUAUAUAUAUAUUACGCAGAGUAAACAAAGUUAAGCUUCCAGUAAAUUAUAAGUCGGACUCAUUUUCUAUGUAACUGUGCACGUUUAACGACAUCAGCUGAUAAAAAUCUCUACUUCUUAUUUUUUUAUAUUGGUUAUAUGUUACUUGCCUCCACAGAUAGGAAAUGUAUAAAACGAAAUUUAUGAGCAAUAUUCUGAUUCCGUCUAGGAAACGUGAUGGGUGCACUUGCGCCGGCUUCCCACCAGGGGGCAGCAUCGCUCUAAUGCUGAAUUUCAUUUCUUUCUUUAAUGUCCGUUUUUAUUUUUCCGUGCUGUAGCUCAUAUGGAUGGCCCACUGUCCUGCCUGCUGCCUGCAGCUCCAGGGUCCUGGGUUGGUGCCUGUCUGUGUGGAGCUGGCGUGUUCUGUCUGUGUUCAGUGGGUUUGGGCCGGGUCUCACCGCCCACAGACAAGCACAUUAGUCUGGACUGGCUGCGCUACACUCUCCCCCUGCGGUUUCUCCUGCACAGAAAAACGCUGGCUGAUCCCCUCCAGCUGCAGAGUCUCCUCAGGGCUCGCUGUGCUCUGCAAUGGCUUCUGAGCUCUCAGUUGUCUAAUCGGUCCUUUAAUUGAAAUUUUGAUUUGAUUCAUUUGAACGCUUCACUUUACAAUUCCAGAUGUUAACAUUUUAAACUUUUACUGUUUUUACAGGCAAUUUGAAGCUGUCAAUUGCUUCAAAUUGCUGUCAAGUAAAUCUUGAGCUGCUGAAAACAACAAUUGCAUCCUCAAAGAGCAAAUGUCCACUGCUGCAAUCUGAGUUCCUCCUAAUAAAAAGGUCACUGAGAUCUCCAGGUGUUGCUGUCUGAUUUCCGAUGUCUGCGAUGCCUCCUCCACAGUGUGCUCUCGAUGGGAAUGCUGUGCUCUCUCUGCAGUCUCUUGCUCACUGAAGAGCAGGGUUCCCGGGACCACAGAGCUGAGCAGAGCUGCCCCAAGGCCUUCAAGAGCAGCAGUGGGCUGCCCCAGGUGAUCAGACCUAUUAAAUAACCAGUCCAGUUUCACCUGCUGCCCUUGAAGGCCAGAGCUGCC
Lepisosteus oculatus (spotted gar) is the source of this 1782-nucleotide long non-coding RNA. The record is from Ensembl. NCBI's taxonomy places the organism in Eukaryota, Metazoa, Chordata, Actinopteri, Semionotiformes, Lepisosteidae.